This 26-nucleotide unclassified non-coding RNA is filed under the name Mus musculus (house mouse). RNAcentral's name for it is "oocyte_clustered_small_RNA11536". Lineage: Eukaryota; Metazoa; Chordata; Mammalia; Rodentia; Muridae. The record is from RNAcentral.
UCUCACCAAUGCGGGCUUAGCGGCCG